UCCAGCCACAGUGCCACCACUCCACCCGGGGAAAUUUGGCCUAAUUUCCAUUUAUUAAAAGGACCUGAAGACACGGCCCAACAGGUGGAAACGACAUAGACCUGUUUUUUUUACCUCUCCCUGCAGUUUUCUGUAUUUUAACUUCUGUGGAGGCCUGAAGGAUGCUGUUCUGCUAGCACAAAUUCUUUGAAAAUCCUAAAAUAAGGCGUGGUAAUAAGGCAGGCUGGGUUUACUCCAUCCACGAAUAGUGCAGUUUCUGCUGAUUGAAGCUGGAGAAGAAAAAUAAUUGAGGACGCCAGCGUAAAAGCAAUCCAACGUUUCUUCAGUGACAAGCGCGCCCCCUUCUGCUGCUGGCCAGCAGUUCACGCCGUCCCACUCCACCAGACAGCCUAGAUGAGGCAGGAACACAGGCAGGACACUGGGGGGGGUCAUGGCUGAGGACGGACACGCAGGCCCCGUAACUGCAUGGCUGUUUUUAGGCCAGCAAGCGUGGAAGAAAUACGGAAACGGCGAGAAGAUUGAUUUUGCAAAAAAAAGACACAAGGAGGACAUGAUGGGCUACUUUUGCGUCCAAAUCCUUUGGAGUUUUACACGAUGUUUUUGCAAGAUCAAAAUAGCAUUCCCAAUAUAGGUUUACAUACUGAAUGCACAUGGUCGUACAUAAUUAAUUAAUUAAUAAUGGUGUUUCACUGACGAAAAUGCGGCGAUUUUGCAGAACACUGAGCGCACCUACAGUAUAUCAGGUCGUUUGCCUGACGAAUUCAGGUUUCCAUCAAUCUGUAUCCAGAACUGCGGAGCUGGAAAUCGGAGCUCACC
Long non-coding RNA from Lepisosteus oculatus (spotted gar), 816 nucleotides. RefSeq lists it as uncharacterized. The record is from RefSeq and is a predicted model, not a curated record. NCBI's taxonomy places the organism in Eukaryota, Metazoa, Chordata, Actinopteri, Semionotiformes, Lepisosteidae.